CGGGCGCUGGGGCGGCGCUGGGCCGCCUUCUGCGCGGUGGUCCGGCCGGAGGAUCAUCCGGCGCGCCCGGCC
This 72-nucleotide transfer RNA is filed under the name Wenxinia marina. RNAcentral's name for it is "tRNA-Arg". The record is from RNAcentral. Lineage: Bacteria; Pseudomonadati; Pseudomonadota; Alphaproteobacteria; Rhodobacterales; Roseobacteraceae.